This 497-nucleotide ribosomal RNA is filed under the name uncultured bacterium. Its description in RNAcentral is "partial 16S ribosomal RNA". It matches the Rfam family "Bacterial small subunit ribosomal RNA", at positions 28 to 507 of the family's 1533-position model. The record is from RNAcentral.
GAUGAACGCUGGCGGCGUGCCUAAUACAUGCAAGUCGAGCGAACAGACGAGGAGCUUGCUCCUCUGACGUUAGCGGCGGACGGGUGAGUAACACGUGGAUAACCUACCUAUAAGACUGGGAUAACUUCGGGAAACCGGAGCUAAUACCGGAUAAUAUAUUGAACUGCAUGGUUCAAUAGUGAAAGACGGUUUUGCUUUCACUUAUAGAUGGAUCCGCGCCGCAUUAGCUAGUUGGUAAGGUAACGGCUUACCAAGGCAACGAUGCGUAGCCGACCUGAGAGGGUAAUCGGCCACACUGGAACUGAGACACGGUCCAGACUCCUACGGGAGGCAGCAGUAGGGAAUCUUCCGCAAUGGGCGAAAGCCUGACGGAGCAACGCCGCGUGAGUGAUGAAGGUCUUCGGAUCGUAAAACUCUGUUAUUAGGGAAGAACAAAUGUGUAAGUAACUAUGCACGUCUUGACGGUACCUAAUCAGAAAGCCACGGCUAACUACGUG